GUGUAAUGUUUACUCUGUGUAUUCUAUUGUAUCAACAGGAGAGAAGUUGACACUGUGUUUUGUAUACCCUGUGUAUGCUAAUGUAUUGACAGAAGAGUAGUUGACACUGUGUUUUGUAUACCCUGGGUAUGCUAAUGUAUUGACAGAAGAGUAGUUGACACUGUGUUUUCUUUACCCUGUGUAUGCUAUUGUAUUGACAGAAGAGUAGUUGAUAUUGGGUUUUGUUUACCCUGUGUAUGCUAUUGUAUCGACAGAAGAGUAGUUGACACCUUGUAAUGUUUACUCUAUAUAUUCUAUUGUAUCGACAGAAAAGUAGUUGACACUAUGUUAUGCUUACUCUGAGUAUGCUAUGGUAUGAACAGAAGAGAAGUUGACACUGUGUUAUGUUUACUCGGUGUAUACUAAUGAAUUAACAGAAGAGUAGUUGACACUGGGUUAUGUUUACUCUGUGUAUGUUAUUGAAAAAACAGGAGAGUAGUUGACACCGUGUUAUAUUUACCCUGUGUAUACUAUUGUAUUUACAGUAGAGUAGUAGACACUUUUAUUUGUUUACAUUGUGUAAGAUAUUGUAUCGACAGUAGAGUAGUUGACGCCGUGUUAUAUUAAAGCAUUUAUAUGAGGAUGUUUACUUUUAUGUCAAGGUACUCUGUAAACAAACUAAUUUUCGCGACUUUCGUGAGACGAAAACUGUCGCGAAUAUAAAUCGGCGCGAAUGUGUAAAACUUGGAAUUAUCCUUACGUAACUGAAUAAAGUAAAUUUGAAAAUCGCGACAUAAUUAGCGGCUAAAUGGGCUAGAAGGGGCUAAAUGCAAAAUAAAGUAUCCGCGAAAAUAAGUUCGUUUACAGUAUAUCGCACUUAGUUUCUUAAACCAAAUGUGAAUUUAACAGAAACUAUCAAAGAGCUGUCUUUAAACCAAUAUUCCAACAAUGCCAAAUAAAAGCUUUAACAAUGACGACCAC
Molecule: long non-coding RNA, 960 nt
Filed under: Mytilus galloprovincialis (Mediterranean mussel)
Lineage: Eukaryota; Metazoa; Mollusca; Bivalvia; Mytilida; Mytilidae
Source: RNAcentral